GGACCCGCACAAGCGGUGGAGUAUGUGGUUUAAUUCGAUGCAACGCGAAAAACCUUACCAAGGUUUGAAAUCAUUUCAAAACUCUUUGAAAGAAGAGCCUCCUUCGGGAUGGAAUGACAGGUGGUGCAUGGCUGUCGUCAGCUCGUGUUGUGAAAUGUCAAGUUAAGUCUUGUAACGAGCGCAACCCAUGUCUUUUGUUGCUGUUUACAGUGCUUAAAAGAGACUGCCGCUCUACAGCGGAGGAAGGUGUGGAUGAUGUCAAGUCAGCAUGCCCCUUAUAUCUUGGGCUACACACGUACUACAAUGGUAGGGACAAUGAGUCGCAAACCUGCGAAGGCUAGCC
This 343-nucleotide ribosomal RNA is filed under the name uncultured bacterium. RNAcentral describes it as "bacterial SSU rRNA". It matches the Rfam family "Bacterial small subunit ribosomal RNA", at positions 917 to 1269 of the family's 1533-position model. The record is from RNAcentral.